AGAAUCAACGCUGGCGGCGUGCCUAACACAUGCAAGUCGAACGAGAAAGUGGAGCAAUCCAUGAGUAAAGUGGCGCACGGGUGAGUAACACGUGACUACCUACCCUUGAGUGGGGGAUAACCUAGGGAAACCUGGGCUAAUACCGCAUAACACCUUCGGGUCAAAGGAGCAAUUCGCUUAAGGAGGGGGUCGCGGCCGAUUAGUUAGUUGGCGGGGUAAUGGCCCACCAAGACGAUGAUCGGUAUCCGGCCUGAGAGGGCGCACGGACACACUGGAACUGAAACACGGUCCAGACUCCUACGGGAGGCAGCAGUGGGGAAUUUUGCGCAAUGGGGGAACCCUGACGCAGCAACGCCGCGUGGAGGAUGAAGUCCCUUGGGACGUAAACUCCUUUCGUUCGGGACGAUUAUGACGGUACCGGAAGAAGAAGCCCGGCUAACUUCGUGCCAGCAGCCGC
Molecule: ribosomal RNA, 457 nt
Filed under: uncultured bacterium
Lineage: Bacteria
Description: SSU rRNA
Rfam family: Bacterial small subunit ribosomal RNA
Source: RNAcentral